RNAcentral lists this ribosomal RNA (552 nucleotides) under Triticum aestivum (bread wheat). Its description in RNAcentral is "partial small subunit ribosomal RNA". Lineage: Eukaryota; Viridiplantae; Streptophyta; Magnoliopsida; Poales; Poaceae. The record is from RNAcentral.
AUGGCAGAAUGCUUCAAUAAGGUGCUCAAGGGUGUACGUGCAUUACCCGUGACGGCAAUAGUUCAAUACACAUUUGACAAGAUGAAUGGAUACUUUAAGUACUCAAUGGAGACGGAUAAGCAGAUUGCUGGUGAGAACAAGGAUAAGCACAAGUACUAUUUCCCACCAAAGGUUGAAGAAUGGUUGGACUUUCAAUCACGUAAGGCAGACUCCCAAGAAGCUGUACUAUAUGACGACAACGAGUGGAAGUAUGAGGUCAAAGAGCCUCGAGGAACCACAAACGAUGGCCACCAACACGGAGGCCGCGCUUUCAAGGUCUCCCUAACACAGUGUGAUUGCAGCUGCAUGAGGCCAUCGUUGCUUCAUCUCCCAUGCUCGCACUUGUUAAACGCAUCCCGUGUUAGGAAUGUGGACGUCAAUCACCCUCUUACCGUGAGGGAGUCCGAGUUCUCAAUCAUGACGGUAAAGAAUACGUGGGCUCCCCGGUUUCAGCCAUACUUGGACCAAUCACAAUGGCCGGAGUAUCAUGGAGUUCAACUAUGACCGGACCCG